AGCUACAGGCUUAACACAUGCAAGUCGAGGGGCAGCAUGGUCUUAGCUUGCUAAGGCCGAUGGCGACCGGCGCACGGGUGAGUAACACGUAUCCAACCUGCCGUCUACUCUUGGACAGCCUUCUGAAAGGAAGAUUAAUACAAGAUGGCAUCAUGAGUCCGCAUGUUCACAUGAUUAAAGGUAUUCCGGUAGACGAUGGGGAUGCGUUCCAUUAGAUAGUAGGCGGGGUAACGGCCCACCUAGUCUUCGAUGGAUAGGGGUUCUGAGAGGAAGGUCCCCCACAUUGGAACUGAGACACGGUCCAAACUCCUACGGGAGGCAGCAGUGAGGAAUAUUGGUCAAUGGGCGAGAGCCUGAACCAGCCAAGUAGCGUGAAGGAUGACUGCCCUAUGGGUUGUAAACUUCUUUUAUAAAGGAAUAAAGUCGGGUAUGGAUACCCGUUUGCAUGUACUUUAUGAAUAAGGAUCGGCUAACUCCGUGCCAGCAGCCGCGGUAAUACGGAGGAUCCGAGCGUUAUCCGGAUUUAUUGGGUUUAAAGGGAGCGUAGAUGGAUGUUUAAGUCAGUUGUGAAAGUUUGCGGCUCAACCGUAAAAUUGCAGUUGAUACUGGAUAUCUUGAGUGCAGUUGAGGCAGGCGGAAUUCGUGGUGUAGCGGUGAAAUGCUUAGAUAUCACGAAGAACUCCGAUUGCGAAGGCAGCCUGCUAAGCUGCAACUGACAUUGAGGCUCGAAAGUGUGGGUAUCAAACAGGAUUAGAUACCCUGGUAGUCCACACGGUAAACGAUGAAUACUCGCUGUUUGCGAUGUACGGCAAGCGGCCAAGCGAAAGCGUUAAGUAUUCCACCUGGGGAGUACGCCGGCAACGGUGAAACUCAAAGGAAUUGACGGGGGCCCGCACAAGCGGAGGAACAUGUGGUUUAAUUCGAUGAUACGCGAGGAACCUUACCCGGGCUUAAAUUGCAGAUGAAUUACGGUGAAAGCCGUAAGCCGCAAGGCAUCUGUGAAGGUGCUGCAUGGUUGUCGUCAGCUCGUGCCGUGAGGUGUCGGCUUAAGUGCCAUAACGAGCGCAACCCUUGUUGUCAGUUACUAACAGGUUCCGCUGAGGACUCUGACAAGACUGCCAUCGUAAGAUGUGAGGAAGGUGGGGAUGACGUCAAAUCAGCACGGCCCUUACGUCCGGGGCUACACACGUGUUACAAUGGGGGGUACAGAGGGCCGCUACCACGCGAGUGGAUGCCAAUCCCCAAAACCUCUCUCAGUUCGGACUGGAGUCUGCAACCCGACUCCACGAAGCUGGAUUCGCUAGUAAUCGCGCAUCAGCCACGGCGCGGUGAAUACGUUCCCGGGCCUUGUACACACCGCCCGUCAAGCCAUGGGAGCCGGGGGUACCUGAAGUGCGUAACCGCGAGGAGCGCCCUAGGGUAAAACUGGUGACUGGGGCUAAGU
This 1444-nucleotide ribosomal RNA is filed under the name uncultured organism. RNAcentral describes it as "SSU rRNA". It matches the Rfam family "Bacterial small subunit ribosomal RNA". The record is from RNAcentral.